GCCCCUUUAGCUCAGUUUGGUAGAGCGCAUCACUCGUAUCAAGUUCAUGAUGAGGUCGGUUGUUCGAGUCAGCCAGGGGGCA
Non-coding RNA from Coprinopsis marcescibilis, 82 nucleotides. Lineage: Eukaryota; Fungi; Basidiomycota; Agaricomycetes; Agaricales; Psathyrellaceae. The record is from the annotation of a GenBank genome assembly.